CCUACGGGAGGCAGCAGUAGGGAAUAUUGCUCAAUGGGGGAAACCCUGAAGCAGCAACGCCGCGUGGAGGAUGAAGGUUUUCGGAUUGUAAACUCCUUUUGUUAGAGAAGAUAAUGACGGUAUCUAACGAAUAAGCACCGGCUAACUCCGUGCCAGCAGCCGCGGUAAUACGGAGGGUGCAAGCGUUACUCGGAAUCACUGGGCGUAAAGAGGGCGUAGGCGGGAUAGCAAGUCAGAUGUGAAAUCCUAUGGCUUAACCAUAGAACUGCAUUUGAAGCUGUUAUUCUAGAGUAUGGGAGAGGUAGGUGGAAUUCUUGGUGUAGGGGUAAAAUCCGUAGAGAUCAAGAGGAAUACUCAUUGCGAAGGCGACCUGCUAGAACAUAACUGACGCUGAUGCGCGAAAGCGUGGGGAGCAAACAGGAUUAGAUACCCUUGUAGUC
RNAcentral lists this ribosomal RNA (440 nucleotides) under uncultured bacterium. Its description in RNAcentral is "partial 16S ribosomal RNA". It matches the Rfam family "Bacterial small subunit ribosomal RNA", at positions 338 to 795 of the family's 1533-position model. The record is from RNAcentral.